Molecule: ribosomal RNA, 468 nt
Filed under: uncultured bacterium
Lineage: Bacteria
Description: partial 16S ribosomal RNA
Rfam family: Bacterial small subunit ribosomal RNA
Source: RNAcentral
GACGAACGCUGGCGGCGUGCUUAACACAUGCAAGUCGAACGGAAAGGCCCUGCUUUUGUGGGGUGCUCGAGUGGCGAACGGGUGAGUAACACGUGAGUAACCUGCCCUUGACUUUGGGAUAACUUCAAGAAACUGGGGCUAAUACCGGAUAGGAUCUCCUGCUGCAUGGUGGGGGUUGGAAAGUUUCGGCGGUUGGGGAUGGACUCGCGGCUUAUCAGCUUGUUGGUGGGGUAGUGGCUUACCAAGGCUUUGACGGGUAGCCGGCCUGAGAAGGUGACCGGCCACAUUGGGACUGAGAUACGGCCCAGACUCCUACGGGAGGCAGCAGUGGGGAAUAUUGCACAAUGGGCGGAAGCAUGAUGCAGCAACGCCGCGUGCGGGAUGACGGCCUUCGGGUUGUAAAAAGCUUUCGCCUGUGACGAAGCGUGAGUGACGGUAAUGGGUAAAGAAGCACCGGCUAACUACGUG